UUUGAUUAUGCACAACAUUGUGUCACCUGCUAAACUAACAUCAGAAGGCUGUGUGUAUAUUACAUUUUGAAAUAUACUCUUUUGCCAUAAAUGUUUUCUAAAGAUGAUUCUCUUGAAAAAUAUGUUCCUUGUACGAGUGAAAAAACUUUAGAAUAGGGGCAAGUUAACCUGUCGUGAUAACAAUGUUUUCCAUAGUUGAUUUUUAACAGUUAAGAAAACUGGUGAAGGGUAAUGGAUGUAGCUUUCAACGCAGUAGUAGUGUUGUACAUCAAGUGUAUAGACUUUAGAGGGACUGUUAUAUAAGAUAACCAUUGAAGUAUUAUUAUGAUACAAGGAGACAUGAUCGGCAAGAAUGGUAUGGUUCUUAUGGAAACCAUUUUGAAGGCUAUAUAAGUCUUACCCAUGAAACCUUGUUGGUAGCAAAGAGAAAAAUCUCAAAGGAAACACAAGGAAGCAUUUUGCUAUCAAAAAAUUAGAAGUUGAGAUGAAAUAUGUAUAAAUGUUGGUUGCAUGUAUAAUGACUCAUUGGAUGUGGCUAAAGUAUAGAUUUAACUUAUGGGUAAGUCUGCUAGAAAAAACUUUUUAGGGCCGCCCAAUGAUACUGUAUAUACUCCUUAUUAGCCGCGUGGAAACGAGACUGAGUACCACCUUUGGCGUGAUCCCUUUUGCUGUUAUGUUAGUCUUAUUUAAGCUUGAAGGAAACUUGUUGGGAGCGAAUUACAUACUUCGUAUUAUAGUUAGGUAUGGUAAAAAAAAAAAUGUGCCAACACAUCUAAAAUUAAAGCCUUCCUUAGCUCUCAUGUUCAAGUUCAUAUAUUCCGUUGAGUCAUAGGUGACACUUGACUGAAAAUUGUCUUUGCUUACCCAUGUGUGAUGUAAACAAUACAAGAAUAAAAUAGAUUGCCUUAGAAGAUCAUCAGAAGCCCAUUAUCUCAAUGCUUGGUGACAGCCUAAAAUGUGAAGGUAUUCGACCACAUCUACUGUGUGGAAGUCUCCUAUAUCUUCUAAAUAGUCUUAAAAAUCGUCACUAAUGAUCUUGGUGUGCGGUGUCGAAUAUAGAUUAAACUGCAAAAUUUCUUGGUAGAACUAAGAUUUCAUUGAAGUAAAUCAUGCCCACUAUGCCAGGGCUCACAGAAAUCUUAUCUAAGAAGUUGUUAGGAUUUCCAUUUGACAUAACCAGAAAAUAUAGAUGACUCAACCAUAGAUUAUACCAUUUUCAAUAUCACUUCUUUGAGUGACUUUUUGGAAACUCUUAAGAGCCUAUGUUACUGGGAUAUGAUAUCUAAGCGUUAGACUAAAAAAAACUCAAAUUUGAAGUCAUGUUAACCGUGUCUUGAUUUUGGACACGAGUAAGAUAGACAUAAACAUAAUAUAAAAUAAGUAUCAGAUUUCAAGUUAGAAAUCAAUAAUGGAAAUUAAAUAUAUUGCUCCGUAUUAUACAAGUGACAUUAUAACAUCCAAAAUCUUAAAUUUCAAUAUUUAAAUUAAAUUGAAACUCCAUUUCUGUUAAAUAAUAAUUUUUUUUUUAUUCCAAUGAAAAAACUUAUCCCCUUAAACUAACAAAACAUAUAAACUUUGACUUGUAGAUUUCUCAACAAAAGAAUGGAGGUCACUGCUUCUAUAUCUGGAUCGUCUAAAGACAACUAGCAAACUCUAGUACACUAUUUCCGCAACAAAUAACACCCUUAUCCAAUGUUACAAAAAGCUAAGUAAACAACAUCUGGUAGUUCUUUUGAAAGCCUAGAACAGAGUUGGUGUUCAUUUGAAGGACGCAAAGUACUUUUUAUAUUUAGAAUCUUACCAAUAUCCAAAAUUUAAAUGGACCCUCGGCUUAGUCAUAGAAAUCAAAGGUUAUUGUGUAAUACUCUGAACCAUACACCAGAGACACCACAAAUACUCUAAUUGCAUCCAAACCAAGAUGAAGAGGAGUUUUUGAAACCCACUUAAAAGCAAAACCUUGCAAAAAUUGUGUGAAAGAACCAUCAUAGUUUCUCCAUGCGAAAGGUCUUCUUAAGGCUUUAAAAAUGUGACAUGAUGUUCUCAAAGCAGUUUAAUCCACAGAAGAAUGGAAAUACCCCUAUCGUGUUGUUGUGGGAGAAAUAAAUGAAAUUUGUGGAAAUCAGUGGGUGGGAUAAAAUUGGAGACAAAUUUCAAAUUUGCUUCUAUUUUGCAUAUAGUCAUGAUAGAGGUUCUUAAGGCUAACAUUUUUUAAUUAUGAGGGGUAAAACAUAAGUUUUGAGAAAAGCAUGUGGAGAAUGUAUUGAUCUGGGAAUUCCAAAUGAGGAUGAAGAGGUAUCACCGUAUCACUAAAAAUAGACCAGUGCUUCUAACGAUUUUCGUUAUUAUGAAGGAUCUCUAAAAUGUCUAUAAAGAGUAUUUGCCUUUUUCUUGUGGAUUGAGUUACUUUGGGCAACCUCAUGUUGAUGAAGAAUUGAAGAUCCUCUAGAAUGGCAUGCCAAUAUUUUUUUCUUACACACCAUUGGUGCAAGGUCUUGCUUUUAAGUAGCUCUCACGAUCACCUCUUCGUCUUGUUGUGAAACCGUGAACGUAACUGGAUCAUUAUGCUAUUCAAGGUGUUAAACAAACUGUAUAGGAACCUUUGAGUGCUAAUAUUGCUAAUAAUACACUGUGGGUUAAUCUAAAUUUUAGGACGUUGGUAAGAUUGCAAUAAAUAUCAUCUUUACAUUCUCGGCUUUUAGAAUAUACAUUAAUGAUGCUUACUUAGUUUUUGUUUCUUUUAUGGGGGAGGCAGAAUUGCGAUAGACCGAUAGUGUAUUGGAGUAAAUAGAAACAAUGACCUUUGAUCUUGAUGUUUGAGUUCACAAAGCUGGACACUUUUUUUUUUUUUUUUUGAAAUUAGAAGGCAAGAUUUUUGUUAUUUUACAUAUAACGGACUUUUCCGUUGUUUUAGAUAUAUUUUAUUGGAUGUUAAAAUAUCACCUACGAAGUACAAAAUUAUACUCCCUCAUUUUAUGAGGACAAGGUGUAUGUUAUCACCUCAUUUUAUGGACAUAGAAGUUGAUUCAACUUGGCAGAGUUGUCAACCUGCAAACCUUGCUUUUAUGCGAUCUUUGCCUGAAUACGGUGAAAUACUGCCGCACUGUUUAGGGCCUGGAUACGUUUCUACAGUUGGGGCUUUUUUGAAAAGCAAUACCCUCUUUAAAGUACUGCAACUACUAAAAUUGGAACAAAAUCACCACAUUGAUGGAUUGUGGACUUCUACCAUACAUAAUUCUUAGUGCUCCAGUUGUUCUGUAAAUCUGCAUUAAGUACUUGUGACAAAUAGAAUCUACUUAAACUACUAUUUCCUCCGUUUUUUCAAUUGCAUCAUUUGGAGUUACACUAUUCACACAUUUCCCUUUGACCAUCUUUUGUGAUUUAUACAUAAGGAAAAAUAUAAUAAUGUGUAAACUUAUUGGGUUCAUCUUGAUAAAAUAUCAACUUUUUAUUUUAUUUUUACCUAAAAAGAUAAUUUAAGAUACUAAUGGUCAAAGUUACCCUAAACCCUCACUCCACUGCAAUUAAAAAAAAACCCGAGGAAGGAUAAUGUAGAACGGCAGUAAUAUAGUCAUUGACGGUCAUUUGCUAUUUUCUUUGAAGAGGAUGAAAUGAAGUACUAUGUUAUGCAAUUAGACUUGUAUUCUUGUUGAAUGUUGUCGAGUUUUACCCCCAGCUGAAGAUAUUGACAGAUACGAAAAUAGACUAGGAAAAAAAUGGAUUAAGAGUCAUUGCUGCAUGCAUGCAGAGUUAGUAUCUUGGCAUGUAUUGUUGACGUUAUUAUAAACACAAAUGGGUAAACAUAGAAUAAAAGAACUGACUUCAUAUAUAAUUCAUAGAAUGCAUGAUAAGUACACAACUACUCUGGCAUGUAAUUCUAGUUGUGAAAUGAAUGUCCAGCACCAGGGCUUCGACCUGGGGCGGUGGGUCUAAAACCAUCUAAUUGACCAGGGGAUGGUGGUGAACCUGGUAUUGACUGAGAUUCGUCACUGACCUGAACUGGCGCCGUAUGUUGGAGCUCAUUAACAUUUGUUUCUCUUUUUGGUCUGUCAUCAUGUAUGUUUAUGUGGUUUUUUGUGGUUUCCUUUGUUUUUUGGUGACUAUGGAACUUUUGGAAAUCUUUGGUUUUCCCUAAUCUCAGUUGUCUUCCUUUGACAAGCUGGAUUUCUUGGUGGAAAAGCAUUGCCAGAAUAAACCAAGCAAUUAUCAACUUAUUGCAGCCCAUUUCUAGCUUGAAGUUAAGGAGGGAAGUGGAAGGUUUUAGGUUCUUUAGCAUAAAAGUAUGCAGGGCAAGAUGCUCUUACCUCUUAACUCCUGGUGAUAUUUAUAGUACUUGAACACUAAACUCUGAUACCACCACACUAUUCCCAGCCACCUUGAAGAUUCCUUGAGCUGUCAUUUACAAUACAAUGCCAUGCGCCAAUAUAUAAAAAAGCUCAAGGAGCACCAAGGAAUUCAGAGUCCCCUAUGCCAGGCGCGUGCCUUAUAAAUAUUGUGAAACUGUUGUGCGCCUCAAGGUGAACCUCGGUACUCAUUUCACUUCCACCUUUUUUAAAGCCUUACCUGCCCCUGGGGAAUGAAAUCUGUCAGACUUGGAGCCAAUUUAUUCUGGCUCCCGCCGGCGUCUGCCUUCAAAUUCUAAACUAUUAGGCGACGUCUCUAAAAGAGGACAUGAAGCCAACUUCACUCUCAUUACUACUAGGUUGGCAGCGUGGGAUUUAAAAGGUAACUUUGAGUUGACAAGAAAAUAGAUUAAAACGACAUGUGAACAGUAUGACUAUGACUAACUGAUGUUUGGUUGGAGGAGUUGAUAACUUUCCCUGAUAAUUGGAGUGUUGCCAUCUUCAGCAUUAUUAGCUCAUUUGUCCUUUUACCAUCAUGUAUUUGUGUGUGCACAUUCUUGAAGCCAGUUUAAUUGCACAUGCAAAUGCUAGCAACUCAUGAAGGCGUUGGUUGAGUACCCUGUUUUAGACCCAGUCCUCAGAGUUGUUUUCAUUUUUCAUUUUUGUUGAGCUCUGGACAACACUUCUAACGGAGUCGGGUAGAUUGUUACUCCGUACUUGUAAAUUGUUAUGAUCUUGUUAUUACAGCAUCAUAAUUUCAUGUAAUGAAGGAGCUUUUGGAUGCAUAUAGACGGGUUGACGGAUACGUGUUUGUAUUUCAACAAGGAGCUCUGAUAAAACUCGACAUAUUUCAUAAGAAUUGUAACAGCGUAAACUGGAUAUGAAUCUUGGGGCAUAUUUGGUAGGCAGUGCAGUGGUGGUGAAUUGGUGUAAUUGUAAUGAACUUGUGUACUUCGCAUGUCAAGUCAUGAAUUUUAACAUGUAAAUUUGAUGUCUUACCAUCUUAGUCAACCAUCAGAUAUACAAUUUGUCGCACAAUUAUAUAUAAAUUAGAAGUUUAGAACAUC
Spinacia oleracea (spinach) is the source of this 5407-nucleotide long non-coding RNA. RefSeq lists it as uncharacterized. The transcript is spliced from 4 exons. NCBI's taxonomy places the organism in Eukaryota, Viridiplantae, Streptophyta, Magnoliopsida, Caryophyllales, Amaranthaceae. The record is from RefSeq and is a predicted model, not a curated record.